This 109-nucleotide ribosomal RNA is filed under the name Mastacembelus armatus (zig-zag eel). Lineage: Eukaryota; Metazoa; Chordata; Actinopteri; Synbranchiformes; Mastacembelidae. The record is from RNAcentral.
AUUAGCAGCCACACCAUCCUGCGAAUGCCCGAUCCCAUCUGGUCUUGGAAGCUAAGCAGGGUUGGGCCUGGUUACUCCCAUUUGGAUGGGAGACCAGAGGCUGUUAGAC